GAAAAAGAGACUUCAAAGUGUUGGUAUAUGCACAAUAUUCUGUUGGGGAGACAAGGAAUCUUAAGGGUUUUGGCUCAAACAGAUCAGAAUGACAAGGAUUUGGAUCGGAUGAGUGAGAGGCAGGAUCUUGAAGGAAAGGAGCUAAAGCAAGAAACUACUUUGCAUGACCUGGAGCUGGUUUCUUUAGUUCACAGUCAUGUCAAUGCUGCAGAGCAAUAUGAUUUUGAGUAAGGCUAGAUUUUGAUGACCAUUUUGUAGAUGUAGUGAUAUCAGGAUGAAUUGUGCACAAAUUAUACUGCAUGUAGUUAUUGCAGUAGUGGUAUCUUCUAGACUAGCCUUAAAGUAGGUUAGGGUUUAUUGUGCAAAACUUUUGAAGCUUCCUCAAGCUCUAAUUUUGGAUAGAAAUUAAUGCAA
Molecule: long non-coding RNA, 414 nt
Organism: Rosa chinensis
Lineage: Eukaryota; Viridiplantae; Streptophyta; Magnoliopsida; Rosales; Rosaceae
Exons: 2
Source: RefSeq, a predicted model, not a curated record